UACGAAGGGGGCUAGCGUUGUUCGGAAUUACUGGGCGUAAAGGGCGCGUAGGUGGCCUGCUAAGUCGAACGUGAAAUCCCUGGGCUCAACCCAGGAACUGCGUCCGAUACUGGUUGGCUUGAAUCCGGGAGAGGGAUGUGGAAUUCCAGGUGUAGCGGUGAAAUGCGUAGAUAUCUGGAGGAACACCGGUGGCGAAGGCGACAUCCUGGACCGGUAUUGACGCUGAGGCGCGAAAGCCAGGGGAGCAAACGGG
RNAcentral lists this ribosomal RNA (253 nucleotides) under uncultured bacterium. RNAcentral's name for it is "partial 16S ribosomal RNA". It matches the Rfam family "Bacterial small subunit ribosomal RNA", at positions 524 to 776 of the family's 1533-position model. The record is from RNAcentral.